AUGAUUCCUACAUGGUCGUCCUGAGAAUACAUGUCACUGUAUUGUCUGAAUAACAUUCAGCAAGUAACAUUCAACAUGUGUUCUCAGGUCGCCCCUGCAGGCUUUUU
Cucumis melo (muskmelon) is the source of this 107-nucleotide non-coding RNA. The record is from Rfam. NCBI's taxonomy places the organism in Eukaryota, Viridiplantae, Streptophyta, Magnoliopsida, Cucurbitales, Cucurbitaceae.